Molecule: ribosomal RNA, 253 nt
Filed under: uncultured bacterium
Lineage: Bacteria
Description: partial 16S ribosomal RNA
Rfam family: Bacterial small subunit ribosomal RNA
Source: RNAcentral
UACGUAGGGUGCGAGCGUUGUCCGGAAUUACUGGGCGUAAAGAGCUCGUAGGUGGUUUGUCGCGUUGUUCGUGAAAACCGGGGGCUUAACCUUCGGCGUGCGGGCGAUACGGGCAGACUGGAGUACUGCAGGGGAGACUGGAAUUCUUGGUGUAGCGGUGAAAUGCGUAGAUAUCAAGAGGAACACCUGCGGCGAAGGCGGGUUGCUGGGCCGACACUGACGCUGAGGCGCGAAAGCCAGGGGAGCGAACGGG